AAAUGAUUCUGCCAAUUUGAUCUAAGAAGGUUUGAAGUUGGAGGGAGACUGGAAGCUGAGAAACCAGCUAGGAGCUUAUUAUAACAAUCCAGGCAUGACGUUGGACCAGUGAGGAAGCCAGGGGCAUGAUUAGAAAGAAGCUCCUGAACCGCCCAGAAUCUAAAAGUGGAGCAUUUGGAGGAGUCGUGUGGAGUGAUUCUGGCUCCCAGAAAUGAACACAGGAGGCACUUUCCUGGGAGCAUGCCACACUACAGGUGAUCUACAAAUGAAUAUCAAAGCAAGUAUCCAGAGGUAGUUGGAGAAAUUUCUGCCUGAAGAGUCAAGAAACAUGAUUCCCCUUUUCUUGCCAAUUGGGCACUUUCUCUCUGUCUGGGGAACAAGUGGCAAGAGGUUACCUUGGAAUUUGCUUUGAAGAUUAGGGUCUUGGUUCCAGGAGAUGGAGUAUGCCACAUACUUUCCUUUUCUCCACAGAGAGGUGGUGGGCUGCAAGAAUGGAUUGUUGUUGCUCAUAUUACAGUUUAUUCUGCUUAAUUGUUUUUCUUCAUUAUAAUGAGGGGAAAGUAGUAAUGGGGAGAAGACUGGGUCAACUAGGCUUAUUGAACAGUGACCAAGGAAUAAAUGGCCAAAAGGAAA
This is a long non-coding RNA of Monodelphis domestica (gray short-tailed opossum), 633 nucleotides long. RefSeq lists it as uncharacterized. The record is from RefSeq and is a predicted model, not a curated record. Lineage: Eukaryota; Metazoa; Chordata; Mammalia; Didelphimorphia; Didelphidae.